This 496-nucleotide ribosomal RNA is filed under the name uncultured bacterium. RNAcentral's name for it is "partial 16S ribosomal RNA". It matches the Rfam family "Bacterial small subunit ribosomal RNA", at positions 29 to 507 of the family's 1533-position model. The record is from RNAcentral.
AUGAACGCUGGCGGCGUGCCUAAUACAUGCAAGUCGAGCGAACGGACGAGAAGCUUGCUUUUCUGAUGUUAGCGGCGGACGGGUGAGUAACACGUGGAUAACCUACCUAUAAGACUGGGAUAACUUCGGGAAACCGGAGCUAAUACCGGAUAAUAUUUUGAACCGCAUGGUUCAAAAGUGAAAGACGGUCUUGCUGUCACUUAUAGAUGGUUCCGCGCUGCAUUAGCUAGUUGGUAAGGUAACGGCUUACCAAGGCAACGAUGCAUAGCCGACCUGAGAGGGUGAUCGGCCACACUGGAACUGAGACACGGUCCAGACUCCUACGGGAGGCAGCAGUAGGGAAUCUUCCGCAAUGGGCGAAAGCCUGACGGAGCAACGCCGCGUGAGUGAUGAAGGUCUUCGGAUCGUAAAACUCUGUUAUUAGGGAAGAACAUAUGUGUAAGUAACUGUGCACAUCUUGACGGUACCUAAUCAGAAAGCCACGGCUAACUACGUG